RNAcentral lists this ribosomal RNA (640 nucleotides) under uncultured archaeon. Its description in RNAcentral is "partial 16S rRNA". It matches the Rfam family "Archaeal small subunit ribosomal RNA", at positions 1 to 626 of the family's 1478-position model. The record is from RNAcentral.
UCCGGCCGCCUGGCCGCGGGAUUUUCCGGUUGAUCCUGCCAGAGGUCACUGCNNUCGGGGUUCGAUUAAGCCAUGCGAGUCGAGAGGGUUCGGCCCUCGGCGUACUGCUCAGUAACACGUGGAUAACCUGCCCUAGGGGAGGGGAUAACCCCGGGAAACUGGGGAUAAUACCCUAUAGGUUACAGAUGCUGGAAUGCCCUGUAACCAAAAGCUCCGGCGCCCUAGGAUGGAUCUGCGGCCGAUUAGGUUGUUGUUGGGGUAACGGCCCAACAAGCCCGUAAUCGGUACGGGUUGUGGGAGCAAGAGCCCGGAGUUGGAUUCUGAGACACGAAUCCAGGCCCUACGGGGCGCAGCAGGCGCGAAACCUUUACAAUGCGGGCAACCGUGAUAAGGGAACCUCGAGUGCCUGUAAACGCAGGCUGUUCAGGUGUUUAAAACGCACCUGGAGAAAGGGCCGGGCAAGACCGGUGCCAGCCGCCGCGGUAAUACCGGCGGCUCGAGUGGUGGCCGCUUUUAUUGGGCUUAAAGCGUUCGUAGCUGGGUUGUUAAGUCUCUUGGGAAAUCUGGCGGCUUAACCGUCAGGCGUCUAANGGAUACUGGCAAUCUUGGAAACCGGGAGAGGUGAGGGGUACUUCGGGGG